AAGAAACCUUACAUAAAAGCACUCUACAACACAACAAAGAAAUCUAAAGAACAUGGAUAAUCAAAUUUAUCAUAAGCUAAAUUGAGAGAUAGAUAUAUAUAAAAAAAAAGUAAAAAAUAUGCAUUACAUAAUCAAAUUUAUCAUAAGCUAAUACUUUUUCUUUAAAAUCCGAUGUGGAACUUGUAAUUUAUGUGUUGCCUUUUGGUUGGUUGAGUCAUUAGUGCACAGCCAAAGUGAAUUUGUCAAAUAUAUCCUGCACGAUCAGCACUCUCCUCCACCACGGGCGGACAGGCUCAUUUGCACAUUUUGAACAAAUCAACCCCUGAUGUAUUCACAAUUCUCGAUCGAGUCUCAAAACAAAGUAUUUUAUCAAAUAAAUCCCAAGCGUUCUUAGACAUCUCUCAAUUUUUUUCUUUUCUCAAUCAGUUUUUUUUUUUUUUUUCCAACACUGAACUGUUUUAUAUUAUGAGAUAUGCAAGUUUGUUAGAAGGAGAAUAUUAGAAAACUGUGGACCCAGUUGAUGCUGCAAUGACGAUUGCAAUGACGAUAAGGUAAAUGACUUGCACUGGCUGAUGGGUGUGGAAUUUUCUAGGAAAGUAGCAAAUAGUAGAAACGAUUAUAUUUUAUUGACUGACUUCUCGUCUUUAUAAUCCUCACAGUGCCUUGCUAUUUUUUGUAUUGCAGGAACCUGCAAAUCCUUAUUUGCUUUUGAGAUGCAUGAUGAAUGUUUCAAACAAGAAGUGGAAAGGUUCAACCAGUGGAGAAAAGCUCUUAUCAUGAAGGGUGUGUGUCUUUCUGGGUGGAAGUGGGAUCUCGCUGAUAUGGCAAAAGGGUAUAGCUUUUUUUUGGUUCUAAGAUGAUUAAUUAGAUCUGCUCUUAUACAUCAAUAAGGAAUAAUUUUCCUUUUCGAUCCAAGCAUGAUACAGUCCCACUUGACAGUAAAUAAUUGGUGUUGAAUUAUAUUUUUGAUACUGAAAAUCUUGUUUGAGCAUGUUCAAAUUGAUGAUUUGCUUUUGUGUAUGCAUAGGGACGAAUCAAAAUUUAUCGAAGAUGUGUUGAAUAAAUUGGAUUGCAAAUGCUUUCAUGUUUCCAAGCACAUGAUAGGUGUUGAUUCCGGUUUGUUACUAGAAAUUGCUACGAAAGAUGUUUACGUUGUGGGCAUAUAUGGAAUGGAAGGAGUGGGCAAGACACCUACGACAGAGUCUGUAUUUAACAGACUUUGUUAAAUAUUACAGGGAAGUUGCUUUCUUUGAAAUGUUAAAGAAAUCUCAAAACAAUGGGAAGUUAUGGUUCAAUUACAUGAAUCACUUCUAAAACCAAAUAUUCUAAGGAUCAAAAGAGUUGAAAGAGAAAUCAAUUUGAUCAAAGAACGACUUUGUUGCAAAGAAGUUCUUAUUGUUCUUGAUGACGUGGGCUAAUCAGAACAAUUAGAUACAUUGGUUGGAGAGCUUGGAGAGCGAAGUUGGUUUGGUACUGGAAUCAUUACAACUAGAGAUGAACAUUUGCUAAAGGAACUUGAACUGGAUAUGAGGCUGGAAAGUUGGAUUGACAUGCCUCCAAGAGCACCGCACCCAUCCAGUACAAGAUUAUGUGAAGCUUUCAAAUAGUGUAGUGAUUUAGGACUUCCUUUAGCUCUUGAAGUUUUGAGUUCUUAUUCGUUCAAAAGAAGCAUCCCUGUAUGUUAAUGUUUAGUGUUAUUGAAAAACUUAGUAUUUAGAGAAGACUUGGGAUAAUUUUUGACACGCUAGAUUAUGAUAAAGCAAAAGCUAUAUCAUGCUUUUUCUUUGAUUCAGACAGAAUAUAUAAUCGAGAUACUAUAUGGCCUUGGUUUCUUUUCAGAAAUUGAUAUUAAUUUUCUCGUUGAUAGUUCUCUUUUAACUAUUAACAACUCAAAUCAAUUAGAGAUGCAUGGUCUGUUGCGAGACAUGGGAAGAGAGGUUGUUUGUGAAUUGUCACCUAACCAUCCUGGAAAACAUGGUAGAAUUUGGCUUCCUAAGGAUGUGCAGGGUGUGCUCAACAAUCAGACGGUAAGAAUUAAAUCCGUAUGCCUAGUCCGGUCUUGCACACAAACAAUUUUCUGUCUCUUAUAUCAACUUUUUAGAGAGUUCACCAAUUUUUUUUCUGGAUGGAUCAUCUUCCACACCAUUAUAGGUGAUACUUCUGCUAUUUUGAACUGUUUUCAGUUAACUGAAGUUGUGGCGGGUCUCGCACUAGAUGUGCAUUUUACAUCAAAAAGUCUACCUCUAAGCAGGAUGAGAUAUUUAAAUUUACUUCUAAUUGAUGAAGUAAAUCUCACUGGACGAUAAAUAUCUUUCCAAAGAGGUGAUAUGGCUUUGUUGGCAUGAAUGCUCUUUGCAAUCUUUACCAUCCAUUUUCAACUGGAGAACUAGUAGUUCUUGAUAUGCAGUACAGCAACAUCAAAGAACUCUGUAAUGAAAUCAAGGUAAGGCAUGUCAAUGGAAAGGCUGUCUGUUCAGACAAAAACAACACCUGCAUUGUUCGUGAGUGCCAAAAACAAAAUGAGAUUCAGGACAGGGAAGGCAUCAGAACUAUCUGGCCCAAUUUGUUGGAUGACUGCAGCAAUUUAGCAAAUACUUUUAAGAAGACUCUUGUUCAGGCUCUGUGCAAGGGUGAUGUACCAAGAUUGUUUCAGCUAUUGUGGAGACGGAUCUUCAUUAUCAUUUUAUCUUCCAGCAGUUGCAGAUGGGGAACCCCAAGCGCUGGUUGUUUGGGUUAUUUAUGUAGCCAAUGCAGCAAAUGAAAGAUUAUUUCGUGAUGCAUAAGCUUCUGCUGUUAUAAAAAAUAAUAGCAAUGAUAUUCAAUACCUUGAAAUGUUGAUGUA
This is a long non-coding RNA of Populus trichocarpa (black cottonwood), 2842 nucleotides long. RefSeq lists it as uncharacterized. The record is from RefSeq and is a predicted model, not a curated record. Lineage: Eukaryota; Viridiplantae; Streptophyta; Magnoliopsida; Malpighiales; Salicaceae. The transcript has 2 exons.